This 468-nucleotide ribosomal RNA is filed under the name uncultured bacterium. Its description in RNAcentral is "partial 16S ribosomal RNA". It matches the Rfam family "Bacterial small subunit ribosomal RNA", at positions 28 to 507 of the family's 1533-position model. The record is from RNAcentral.
GAUGAACGCUGGCGGCGUGCUUAACACAUGCAAGUCGAACGGAAAGGCCCAAGCUUGCUUGGGUACUCGAGUGGCGAACGGGUGAGUAACACGUGGGUGAUCUGCCCUGCACUUCGGGAUACGCCUGGGAAACUGGGUCUAAUACCGGAUAGGACGAUGGUUUGGAUGCCAUUGUGGAUAGUUUUUUCGGUGUGGGAUGAGCUCGCGGCGUAUCAGCUUGUUGGUGGGGUAAUGGCCUACCAAGGCGUCGACGGGUAGCCGGCCUGAGAGGGUGUACGGCGACAGUGGGACUGAGAUAAGGCCCAGACACCGACGGGAGGGAGAAGUGGGGAAGAUUGAACAAGGGGCGCAAGCCUGAUGCAGAGAGGCCGCGUGGGGGAUGACGGCCUUCGGGUUGUAAACUGCUGUCGCGAGGGACGAAGCGUUUUUGUGACGGUACCUGGAGAAGAAGCACCGGCUAACUACGUG